AACGAACGCUGGCGGCGUGUUUAAGACAUGCAAGUCGCACGGGACUAUUUGAGUAGCAAUACAAGGAUAGUUUAGUGGCGCACGGGUGAGUAACACGUGAAUUACAUGCCCUGCAGAGGGGGAUAGCCCAGGGAAACUUGGAUUAAUACCCCAUGGUAUCGCGAGAUUAAAGGUGGCCGCAAGGCUGUCGCUGCAGGAUUGGUUCGCGCCCUAUCAGCUUGUUGGUGAGGUAACGGCUCACCAAGGCUACGACGGGUACCUGGUCUGAGAGGACGAUAAGGCACACUGGAACUGAGACACGGUCCAGACACCUACGGGUGGCAGAAGUAGAGAAUAAGUCACAAUGGGGGCAACCCUGAUGGUGCAACGCCGCGUGGAGGAUGACGGUCUUCGGAUUGUAAACGCCUGUCAUCCGGGAGUAAGACCUGGCGAUGAAUAGUCGACAGGGUUGAUAGUACCGGGAGAGGAAGGGACGGCUAACUUCGUGCCAGCCGCCGCGGUAA
RNAcentral lists this ribosomal RNA (503 nucleotides) under uncultured bacterium. Its description in RNAcentral is "partial 16S ribosomal RNA". It matches the Rfam family "Bacterial small subunit ribosomal RNA", at positions 29 to 523 of the family's 1533-position model. The record is from RNAcentral.